UUAAGCGCAACUAACGGUUAAGAUGAAGGCGUGGUAGUGAUGACAAGGUCCAUUCACGUGCAUUCUUCUAUUUCUAUAUAUCCAUUUCGCUUUCACUACUUUCCUCCCAUCAUCACAUUCACUAUUUCCUGUUGUGUGUGUGUGUGUGAGAGAGAGAGAGAGAGAGAGAGAGAUAGAGAUGGAUCCUCCUCCUUCACAAUCCAUUGAUAUUUCCCAAGGCGGCGGGGAUGAUACUCAAGACAAGCUCAUCAAUGACUGUUGCUCUUGCUGCUAUGACUGUACUCAGGGCUGCUUUGAUUACCUUUGCUGUAACUUUUGUUGAAGUCAUCAUGUAAAUAUCUAUGCCCUUAUGAGGAAAAGAUUUUUUCAAGUGAGAAAUUAUUGAAUUUGUAGUUUCUAUAGUAUAUGAUAUUGGAAAACUUUCAAAUGUACCGGUAUAUUUCAGUAAAUUUUAACUGUUGAUUUUAAUUAUAAAAAAUAUAUAAUAUAUAUAAUUAAGAUUAACAGUUAAAAAUUAUUAAAAUAUUAAUGUAUUGGUAUAUUUAAAAGCUUUUCUAUGAUAUUUACUAUUUUAAUUUAAGAGCCAUUCAAAUGAAAGGAAAAAGCACUGCAUGUACUUGACACAUUCCUCUGCUCUUUCAAGCUGUAUUUUCCUUAUCAGAUGAACUUGCUGCGCUAUUCUCUCAUCUA
Arachis duranensis is the source of this 690-nucleotide long non-coding RNA. RefSeq lists it as uncharacterized. NCBI's taxonomy places the organism in Eukaryota, Viridiplantae, Streptophyta, Magnoliopsida, Fabales, Fabaceae. The transcript is spliced from 2 exons. The record is from RefSeq and is a predicted model, not a curated record.